UGGGGCAUCAGGUAAUGGCACAGAAGAGUUCGAUUCUGGCUCAGAUUGAACGCUGGCGGGAUGCUUUACACAUGCAAGUCGAACGGCAGCACGGACUUCGGUCUGAGCGAGUGGCGAACGGGUGAUAAUGUAUCGGAACGUGCCCCUGGUAGCGAGGAUAACUACGCGAAAGCGUAGCUAAUACCGCAUACGCCCUUCAGGGAAAGCGGGGGACCUUCGGGCCUCGCACUAUUAGAGCGGCCGAUAUCGGAUUAGCUAGUUGGUGGGGUAACGGCUCGCAAGGCGACGAUCCGUAGCUGGUUUUGAGAGGACGACCAGCCACUGGGACUGAGACACGGCCCAGACUCCUACGGGAGGCAGCAGUGAGGUACGGUUUCAAUGGGGAAACCCUGAUCAGCCAUCGCGUGUGCGAUGAAGGCCUUCGGGGUUAUAAAGCACUUUUGGCAGGAAAGAAACGGCACGGGAUAAUACCCCGUGCAACUGACGACACCUGCAGAAUAAGCACCGGCUUUAACUACGUGCCAGCAGCCGCGGUAAUACAGCGGCGUAAGAAAGUGCAAAAAGCGUUAAUCGGAAUUACUGGGCGUAAAGCGUGCGCAGGCGGUUCGGAAAGAAAGAUGUGAAAUCCCAGAGCUUAACUUUGGAACUGCAUUUUUAACUACCGAGCUAGAGUGUGUCAGAGGGAGGUGGAAUUCCGCGUGUAGCAGUGAAAUGCGUAGAUAUGCGGAGGAACACCGAUAGCGAAAACGGCCUCCUGGGAUAACACUGACGCUCGUAAAGCAGUAGAACUUAAACAGGAUUAGAUACCUGGUAGUCCACGCCCUAAACGAUGUCAACUGGCUGUUGGGCCUUCGGGCCUUGGUAGCGCAACUAACGCGUGAAGUUGACCGCCUGGGAAGUACCGAUCGCAAGAUUAAAACUCAAAGGAAUUGACGGGGACCCGCACAAGCCGGUGGAUGAUGUGGAUUAAUUCGAUGCAACGCGAAAAACCUUACCUACCCUUGACAUGUCUGGAAUCCCGAAGAGAUUUGGGAGUGCUCGCAAGAGAACUGGAACACAGGUGCUGCAUGGCUGUCGUCAGCUCGUGUCGUGAGAUGUUGGGUUAAGUCCCGCAACGGGCCUGUUGUCAUUAGUUGCUACGAAGGGCACUCUAAUGGAGACUGCCGGUGACAAACCGGAGGAGGUGGGGAUGACGUCAAGUCCUCAUGGCCCUUAUGGGUAGGGCUUCACACGUCAUACAAUGGUCGGGACAGAGGGUCGCCAACCCGCGAGGGAGCCAAUCCAGAAACCCGAUCCGUAGUCGGAUCGCAGUCUGCAACUCGACUGCGUGAAGUCGGAAUCGCUAGUAAUCGCGGAUCAGCAUGUCGCGGUGAAUACGUUCUCCCGGUCUUGUACACACCGCCCGUCACACCAUGGGAGUGGGUUUUACCAGAAGUAGUUAGCCUAACCGUAAGGAGGGCGAUUACCACGGUAGGAUUCAUGACUGGGGUGAAGUCGUAAUAAGGUAG
RNAcentral lists this ribosomal RNA (1508 nucleotides) under uncultured Bordetella sp. RNAcentral's name for it is "partial 16S-23S ribosomal RNA intergenic spacer". It matches the Rfam family "Bacterial small subunit ribosomal RNA". Lineage: Bacteria; Pseudomonadati; Pseudomonadota; Betaproteobacteria; Burkholderiales; Alcaligenaceae. The record is from RNAcentral.